GCGGGACACGUGAUAUCCUGUCUGAAUAUGGGGGGACCAUCCUCCAAGGCUAAAUACUACUGACUGACCGAUAGUGAACCAGUACCGUGAGGGAAAGGCGAAAAGAACCCCUGUGAGGGGAGUGAAAUAGAACCUGAAACCGUGUACGUACAAGCAGUAGGAGCAGGCUUUGUCCUGUGACUGCGUACCUUUUGUAUAAUGGGUCAGCGACUUAUAUUCAGUGGCAAGGUUAACCAUCUAGGGGAGCCGUAGGGAAACCGAGUCUUAACUGGGCGUUCAGUCUCUGGAUAUAGACCCGAAACCAGGUGAUCUAGCCAUGGGCAGGUUGAAGGUUGAGUAACAUCAACUGGAGGACCGAACCGACUAAUGUUGAAAAAUUAGCGGAUGACUUGUGGCUAGGGGUGAAAGGCCAAUCAAACCUGGAGAUAGCUGGUUCUCCCCGAAAGCUAUUUAGGUAGCGCCUCGGACGAAUACUACUGGGGGUAGAGCACUGUUAAGGCUAGGGGGUCAUCCCGACUUACCAACCCUUUGCAAACUCCGAAUACCAGUAAGUACUAUCCGGGAGACACACGGCGGGUGCUAACGUCCGUCGUGGAGAGGGAAACAACCCAGACCGCCAGCUAAGGUCCCAAAUUACUACUCAUUUAAAGAAAGCGUAAUAGCUCACUGGUCGAGUCGGCCUGCGCGGAAGAUGUAACGGGGCUAAGUAGUAAACCGAAGCUGCGGCAAUGUGCUUUUGCACAUUGGGUAGGGGAGCGUUCUGUAAGCGGUUGAAGGUGUGUGGUAA
This 787-nucleotide ribosomal RNA is filed under the name Vibrio parahaemolyticus. RNAcentral describes it as "partial 23S ribosomal RNA". It matches the Rfam family "Bacterial large subunit ribosomal RNA", at positions 417 to 1266 of the family's 2925-position model. The record is from RNAcentral. Lineage: Bacteria; Pseudomonadati; Pseudomonadota; Gammaproteobacteria; Vibrionales; Vibrionaceae.